This 76-nucleotide transfer RNA is filed under the name Cordylochernes scorpioides. RNAcentral describes it as "tRNA-Thr". The record is from RNAcentral. Lineage: Eukaryota; Metazoa; Arthropoda; Arachnida; Pseudoscorpiones; Chernetidae.
CCAUCGAGGAUGGGAAUCGAACCCACAAUGUUCCGCUUACCGGGCAGAUGCCAUGUCCACUAGGCUACUCGGAACU